RNAcentral lists this long non-coding RNA (913 nucleotides) under Nicotiana benthamiana. RNAcentral's name for it is "long non-coding RNA (NBEN_LNC037869)". The record is from RNAcentral. Lineage: Eukaryota; Viridiplantae; Streptophyta; Magnoliopsida; Solanales; Solanaceae.
UUAACAAUUAUGGCAGAACAAACUAAAUGUCAAAACCACUUCAUAUUAAUAUCACAUGUUACAGUGAGGCAAACCAACAACUUAGCAAUUUCAAAUUUAAAAACUAACAGCAUGUCAUAUAAGCGUAACAAUUCAGUAGUCCCUAGUUACAGUCCAUGUGCAUCUACCAUGUAUAUAUUACAACACAAAUGGCUAAUAUCAACUAUGUCUAAUUAACUAUUAUCUAUUUAGUGACAAACAUCAGAAGACAUCCAAACAUAUAUAAAGCUGGCAAACUCUUUUCAUUUCAACUUCAAUUUCCAUCUAGAUUGAUGGACUCAAGGGAAGAUACCUGAAAUUGAACAGAAAUAAGGAGGAAGGUCAGUAGCAGCAACAGCCAAUCACAAACAGCCCAAAAAAAGUUCAGAAGAGGUCAGAAUCAGGAGAACCAAUCGUAAACCACUUAAAACCACCCAAAUAAACUCAAAAUUGAACUCAGGCAAUCCAGAACACCUUCAGCAACAGAAACAACUAUACAACAACUCAAAUAGACCUCAUCCUGACUCCAAAGACCAAAUCAAGUAGUUUCAUAACUUCAAUUACUAAUUACUGAACUAGAAUGGCAAACUGGCAGCCAACCUCGAAUUUGAAUUGCAAAAUUCCAGUGGAACAGUACUGUUUUUCGUUUUUUUAUUUUUGUUUAAUUUGAAAACUACUGUAGAUCUAGAAAAAUUAGAAUGGCGAGAGCUUUUUGAGCUAAUAAUGUCUGGGAAAAAAAAGCUCUUAGCAAGGCUGUUUUGAUCCUUUUUAUAGGUGAAUUCAGGUCUUUGAAUUACCUCUUAGGUCCCUAUUCAAUUUCACUUUCAAUUCCUAAACUUCCUAACUGAUUUUGCAAGCUAGCACCCUCUUUAUUGAUAUUCCAUUAAGACCCUUU